GACGAACGCUGGCGGCAUGCUUAACACAUGCAAGUCGAACGGUAAGGCCCUUCGGGGUACACGAGUGGCGAACGGGUGAGUAACACGUGGGUGAUCUGCCCUGCACUUCGGGAUAAGCCUGGGAAACUGGGUCUAAUACCGGAUAGGACCACUGCCGGCAUGGGUGGUGGUGGAAAGCUUUUGCGGUGUGGGAUGGGCCCGCGGCCUAUCAGCUUGUUGGUGGGGUGAUGGCCUACCAAGGCGACGACGGGUAGCCGGCCUGAGAGGGUGACCGGCCACACUGGGACUGAGAUACGGCCCAGACUCCUACGGGAGGCAGCAGUGGGGAAUAUUGCACAAUGGGCGCAAGCCUGAUGCAGCGACGCCGCGUGAGGGAUGUCGGCCUUCGGGUUGUAAACCUCUUUCAGCACCGACGAAGCGCAAGUGACGGUAGGUGCAGAAGAAGGACCGGCCAACUACGUGCCAGCCGCCGCCGUAA
This 478-nucleotide ribosomal RNA is filed under the name uncultured bacterium. RNAcentral's name for it is "partial 16S ribosomal RNA". It matches the Rfam family "Bacterial small subunit ribosomal RNA", at positions 28 to 523 of the family's 1533-position model. The record is from RNAcentral.